This 101-nucleotide transfer RNA is filed under the name Planctomycetota bacterium. RNAcentral's name for it is "Planctomycetes bacterium (activated sludge metagenome) tRNA-Tyr". Lineage: Bacteria; Pseudomonadati; Planctomycetota. The record is from RNAcentral.
GGCAGAGUCGGCUCGGAGUGGCCCCUGAAACUGGCCUCCGUCGGCAGACUGUAAAUCUGCUGGCUUAGCCUUCGGCGGUUCGAAUCCGUCUCCCGCCACCA